This 253-nucleotide ribosomal RNA is filed under the name uncultured bacterium. Its description in RNAcentral is "partial 16S ribosomal RNA". It matches the Rfam family "Bacterial small subunit ribosomal RNA", at positions 524 to 776 of the family's 1533-position model. The record is from RNAcentral.
UACGUAGGGUGCGAGCGUUAAUCGGAAUUACUGGGCGUAAAGAGUGCGUAGGCGGUUUCUCAAGUCCGCUGUGAAAUCCCCGGGCUCAACCUGGGAAUGGCAGUGGAAACUAGGAGACUUGAAUCUGGCAGAGGGGGGUGGAAUUCCACGUGUAGCAGUGAAAUGCGUAGAGAUGUGGAGGAACACCGAUGGCGAAGGCAGCCCCCUGGGCUGAGAUUGACGCUCAGGCACGAAAGCGUGGGGAGCGAACAGG